RNAcentral lists this unclassified non-coding RNA (215 nucleotides) under Hevea brasiliensis (rubber tree). The record is from RNAcentral. Lineage: Eukaryota; Viridiplantae; Streptophyta; Magnoliopsida; Malpighiales; Euphorbiaceae.
AAUUGGACUGUUCUGGACCACCACACAUACUCAAAUAUAGUUAUCUAUAGCAGCAGAAGAAAAGCAGCGAGAGAUCUGAGAGAGAGAAGAGAGCGUGGUUCGACAGUGACACUCAUCGAUCGGAGGAGAAACCGGAGGAAGAAAGAACAACUUCACUUAAGGAAAAGAAGAAGAUCGGAGAGAGUAGGGUAACGGCGUUCAUCUCCGACGCCGGU